Molecule: long non-coding RNA, 269 nt
Filed under: Homo sapiens (human)
Lineage: Eukaryota; Metazoa; Chordata; Mammalia; Primates; Hominidae
Source: RNAcentral
UCAGGAUGGAAGAAAAUUAUACCAGAUACUAAAGACUUCAGGAAUGAAGAAAGAGCAACAGAAAUGGCAAAUAGCUGGGCAAAAAUGGACUGUUUGGUGUUGGAGGCUGAGCAGAGGUGGGCAAAAAGGAACAGAAGGAGAGUAACUGGUGAAGAAGGAGCAAAGAGUGAGGCACAAAAUGAAGUCUCACCAUGUUGCCCAAGCUGGUCUCAAACUCUUGGCCUCCAGAAAUCCUCCAACUUCAGCCUCCCAAGGUGCUGGGAUUACAG